Molecule: unclassified non-coding RNA, 3088 nt
Filed under: Hevea brasiliensis (rubber tree)
Lineage: Eukaryota; Viridiplantae; Streptophyta; Magnoliopsida; Malpighiales; Euphorbiaceae
Source: RNAcentral
CUUUACUUUGAUAAUGAGACUGAAGAGUUGGGACUUCCGUUUCCAUUUUAUCUCCUCACUGUUACAAUCCAGAUUUUUCUUUUUCAGGGAACACAUUCUAAUUCUACUCUGUGUCUACUGUACAUGUAGUAGAAACUAUAAACCUUUUCUCUCUCGCUAAAGAUAGAUAUGUAGUUACAAAACUUAUGGACUUUUACAAGUCCUAAUGUUGUUUGUAGUGGGUAAUACAAUAAAUACAAGGAUAAAGAAGAAAAGAAUUGACUGCAACAACAGGGACUCACCUUUGCUCGAUUUCCAGGAUAAGUCCAGAGCUCUAAGAAGGCAAUGAAAUGUUAUUAAUUGUAGACUUCUUUCAGCAUUUUCUCGCAAUUCUUGCCAAAGGAUUUUGGAAGAGCAUCUCAUACUGUCUAAGUAGGAGACAAGGAUGUCACCAAAUCCUAAUCAAUUGGAAUUGCUAUCGUACCGGACUAUUAUAUAUGACCAACGAUUGCUCCAGUCCAUUUUGGAUCCCAUAACACACGUCGUUUCAAUGUCUUCAAGCUCAUCUACUCGUGGAAAUCCUCAUAAGGCGAAGAUUCACUAGAUGAAUCACUUUCAAAUGGGGUGGUCUCUCUUGGUGACGAAGGAAGUGAUUCUCUUUGUUGAGAAGAUAAACCUUUUGGUGCUCUUGAACGGAACUUCUUUGUAUGCCGUCUAAUCAGCUUCUUGGCUUUUGUUAUGGUUAGUUGUCUAGCAAAUGGAGAGAAAUCUCCCUCACUUUCACUCCAAUCACCAGUAAUCUCAUUUUCUGCUUCACCCCUCAUUGUUCGAAGCACGAAAGCCUUGGCCUUCCGACGCUGUGAAUUGAAAAGGCCUUUUAUAGAGGUGACAAAACCAUCACCUGCACCCUCAGCGGGACGCUUAGGCCAGGAUAAAGGAUUUUGCUCGGAUUUUCCAGCUGAACCACCAUCACUAUCACUGAGAUUAAGAUCAAUAUCAGGAACGCCAGGAGCACAAGUUUCCUUAUGACUAUGUGCUUUAUCUUUAAACUUCUUUCCCUGCAUUCCUGUCACAGAUUUUAGGACUCCCCAGAUGAUGUGCUUCUUGACUCUUGAGAAUAGCCUCCGCCAGGUUCCCGUAAAUUCAACACGAUGGAAUGUAUCCAUCAGCAAUCUCAAAUCACUCACAGCAAAUCUUAAUCCUUCAUAUGUAACAAGUAACUCAACCUGGCUAAUCUUGAUAUUGUGAAAUUCUCUCAUUCUACGAGGCCUAGAUUUUUUCUCAUCCUGCGCCUUACCCACCUUUUUCUCUUCAUGAGAGGAGCGGCCAGAUUUGAUUAGUUUUGAUUCUUUGGAUCUGUUUCUGUUACCUUCAUCUGGCUGCUCAAUACCAGCAAAUGGCCCACUUGUUGAAGAAGUAGCACUUGAGGAGUGCAUCUGCAGCAUAAGUUCAUCAGCAACAGAUUCAGCUACCUUUUCUUCCAAUAUUCUAUCAAAGGAUGAUGUUCGUCUUAGCUCAGGGGUUGAACCACAAACAAUAUUAGCUUUUAAGUUCUGCAACUUUGACAUUUGGGAGAAAUCAGCAGAAGAGGAUAACUGAUUUGCCGAUGUAACUGGUAAUGCAGAAUUGCUUGAUUUGGUGGAGACCUGAGGAUCUUUUGUUAGAUGGGUACUUGACAUUGGUGCUUCCUGUAUUGAUGCACCUUUCCGUGUACGCCUGGAACCAGCAGUAGUGGAGAACUUCCAAACUUCCUGCCUGCGCUGGGAGUCUUGUUCUUCUUCUGGAAAAAAGUACUCCCACAUCAUUCUAUACAUAGUCUCAGUCAAAUGUAUCUUUAAGGGGUAAAUCUCCACCUGGAAUAGUUCUAGAGGAUAGUUUCCAUCUUUUGGAGCUCCCUGCUUAGCAUCCACGCGAAGCAUCACUUUUUUUCCCCAUUCAGCAGGAGCGUUCCAUGCUGAUAGAAGCAUAUCAGACUUGGCAUUUGGUAAGCAGUUUCUCACAACAAAGUACUUCGUCGUGAACUUAGCAACCCCAACAUCUUUGUAGUCACGGUCAAAAUCAUAUAUCAUGUCAUUUAUCUCAGCUUCAGCAAAUGAUUUACCAUCCACAAGCAUGCUCCAAACCACUUUAUUAAUUUGCAAAGAGAUACGCAUAGCACAAGAAGGACUUUUGUUCUUUUCUUUCUCCAUCAAUCGAAGUUGUGCAGCUUUCUGUAGAGCCAUCCUGAGAGAAGCAGAAGCCGCUUUUCUAGAUUUUUGAGCAUUUACCAGCUCUUUCUUCAGUUUUUGCACCAAUAUGGACCUUCCACCAGUAAUAAUCCAAAGAUCGUCUUCCUUUACCGAGUUCCUAUCGCCAGAUGCAUCAUUAUAAAGAGAUAACUUCCUAAUAUCAUCCUGGAUCAACUUCUGCACUCUUUCUUUCUGCUCUAGAUUCACUCUUGCCAGUUCUACCUCUUCAACACCAUCAGGCACAACUUCGUCAGCCUCCUCUUCAACAUCUUCAUCGUCACCUGCCGGAUACGACAGACUAACUUUUCGAGGCUUUGGAAGCCGGGCAAAUAGAAGAUUGGUCAAGACAUCUAGCAUAACUUGGAACUGGCGAGAUGUCAUUGUUGCUGUUAUGUUAUGUGAAUUGAAUGAAAGCUCCUUCAAAGGUUUCACCUUCAAGUCGGCUGUUCCACCUUUAUGCCUAGUAUAGCGGAAGUACAUAUCACAAGGCAUAAAAACUCUCUCCAGUAAAGCUCCAGUGCGCUUCACUUUUGGUGAGCUUCUUCGAAUUUUAGGAAGCCACUGCAGUCCAGCCCCUGGAUCUACGUCAGUUGGGGCAACAUGUGCCUGUACAUGUUCUAACAUCACAGAGUACUCCAUGCGAUUCCAUGUCAUUUCAGGUUGAGAUUCACGAAUUGGAACAUUUCCUCCACCUAGAGCUUGUUUAAUCACUUCAUAGCCAAUGGAUAGAACUGAAUGGAAUGAACGAGCCAACACACGGCCACUCACAGCCGCCAACAGAAAUCUACCAUUUGCAUCUUCUGAGUGAAGAUUGAAUUGUGGUUCAAUGACAUUGACCAUGAAAUGGCGAGUGCCCUCCCCCUCAUUGUCUUCAAUGUCGG